GACAGAGGAUGCAAGCGUUAUCCAGAAUGAUUGGGCGUAAAGCAUCUGUAGGUGGCUUUUCAAGUCCGCCGUCAAAUCCCAGGGCUCAACCCUGGACAGGCGGUGGAAACUACCAAGCUAGAGUACGGUAGGGGCAGAGGGAAUUUCCGGUGGAGCGGUGAAAUGCAUUGAGAUCGGAAAGAACACCAACGGCGAAAGCACUCUGCUGGGCCGACACUGACACUGAGAGAUGAAAGCUAGGGGAGCAAAUGGG
This 253-nucleotide ribosomal RNA is filed under the name uncultured bacterium. RNAcentral describes it as "partial 16S ribosomal RNA". It matches the Rfam family "Bacterial small subunit ribosomal RNA", at positions 524 to 776 of the family's 1533-position model. The record is from RNAcentral.